Mesocricetus auratus (golden hamster) is the source of this 73-nucleotide non-coding RNA. Lineage: Eukaryota; Metazoa; Chordata; Mammalia; Rodentia; Cricetidae. The record is from the annotation of a RefSeq genome assembly.
GCCUCACUAGCUCAGUCAGUAGAGCAUGGGACUCUUAAUCCCAGGGCCAUGGGUUCUAACCCCAUGUUGGGCA